UGCUACAAUGGCAGAUACNAAGGNCANCUACCUGGUAACAGGAUNCUAAUCUCAAAAAACUCGUCUCAGUUCGAAUUGAGGUCUNCAACUCGACCUCAUGAAGCUGGAAUCGCUAGUAAUCGUAUAUCAGCAUGAUACGGUGAAUACGUUNCCGGACCUUGUACACACCGCCCGUCAAGCCAUGGAAGCUGGGUGUACCUAAAGCCGGUAACCGCAAGGANCCGCCUAGGGUAAAACUAGUAACUGGGGCUAAGUCGUAACAAGUNACCU
This 270-nucleotide ribosomal RNA is filed under the name unidentified soil organism R6-2. Its description in RNAcentral is "partial 16S ribosomal RNA". It matches the Rfam family "Bacterial small subunit ribosomal RNA", at positions 1223 to 1501 of the family's 1533-position model. The record is from RNAcentral.